This 222-nucleotide ribosomal RNA is filed under the name Triticum aestivum (bread wheat). RNAcentral describes it as "partial small subunit ribosomal RNA". The record is from RNAcentral. Lineage: Eukaryota; Viridiplantae; Streptophyta; Magnoliopsida; Poales; Poaceae.
AUGGCGUCCCGGAGCUGCACCUUCGUCGAGAUCCUGCUCGCCGUCAUCCUGCCGCCGCUCGGCGUCUUCCUCCGCUACGGCUGCUGCAGCAUGGAGUUCUUGAUCUGUCUGCUGCUCACCAUCCUGGGCUACAUCCCCGGCAUCAUCUACGCCAUCUACGUGCUCGUCGCGCAUGGCUCGGCCUCGGAGGAGAGCGGCAAGGACUACGACGCCCUUGCUUGA